CCUACGGGAGGCAGCAGUGGGGAAUAUUGGGCAAUGGGCGCAAGCCUGACCCAGCAACGCCGCGUGAAGGAAGAAGGCUUUCGGGUUGUAAACUUCUUUUCUGGGGGACGAACAAAUGACGGUACCCCAGGAAUAAGCCACGGCUAACUACGUGACAGCAGCCGCGGUAAUACGUAGGUGGCAAGCGUUAUCCGGAUGUAUUGGGUGUAAAGGGCGUGUAGGCGGGAAUGCAAGUCAGAUGUGAAAACUAUGGGCUCAACCCAUAGCCUGCAUUUGAAACUGUAUUUCUUGAGUGGUGGAGAGGCAGGCGGAAUGCCUGGUGUAGCGGUGAAAUGCGUAGAUAUUAGGAGGAACACCAGUGGCGAAGGCGGCCUGCUGGGCUUUUACUGACGCUGAGGCUCGAAAGUGUGGGGAGCAAACAGGAUUAGAUACCCUUGUAGUC
RNAcentral lists this ribosomal RNA (442 nucleotides) under uncultured bacterium. RNAcentral describes it as "partial 16S ribosomal RNA". It matches the Rfam family "Bacterial small subunit ribosomal RNA", at positions 338 to 795 of the family's 1533-position model. The record is from RNAcentral.